CGCGGCCUAUCAGCUUGUUGGUGAGGUAACGGCUCACCAAGGCAUCGACGGGUAGCUGGUCUGAGAGGACGGUCAGCCACACUGGGACUGAGACACGGCCCAGACUCCUACGGGAGGCAGCAGUGGGGAAUCUUGCGCAAUGGGCGAAAGCCUGACGCAGCCACGCCGCGUGAGGGAUGAAGGCUUUCGGGUUGUAAACCUCUUUCAGCAGGGACGAAAAUGACGGUACCUGCAGAAGAAGGUCCGGCCAACUACGUGCCAGCAGCCGCGGUAACACGUAGGGACCGAGCGUUGUCCGGAUUUAUUGGGCGUAAAGAGCUCGUAGGCGGUUCAGUAAGUCAGGUGUGAAAGUCCAAGGCUCAACCUUGGAACGCCACUUGAUACUGCUGUGACUAGAGUCCGGUAGAGGAGUGUGGAAUUCCUGGUGUAGCGGUGAAAUGCGCAGAUAUCAGGAGGAACACCGACGGCGAAGGCAGCACUCUGGGCCGGUACUGACGCUGAGGAGCGAAAGCAUGGGGAGCGAACAGGAUUAGAUACCCUGGUAGUCCAUGCCGUAAACGUUGGGCACUAGGUGUGGGGCCUUAUCAACGGGUUCCGUGCCGUAGCUAACGCAUUAAGUGCCCCGCCUGGGGAGUACGG
This 639-nucleotide ribosomal RNA is filed under the name uncultured bacterium. Its description in RNAcentral is "bacterial SSU rRNA". It matches the Rfam family "Bacterial small subunit ribosomal RNA", at positions 232 to 885 of the family's 1533-position model. The record is from RNAcentral.